GUUGGAAGAAACUUCAAGAAAUUGCUAUAGGUAUAGCAAAAGGAAUUGAGUAUCUUCAUCAAGGUUGUGAUCAAAGAAUCCUUCAUUUUGAUAUCAAACCUCAUAAUAUUUUACUUGACCACAACUUUAAUCCAAAGAUUUCUGACUUUGGUUUAGCCAAAUUGUGCUCCAAGGAACAAAGUGCAGUCUCUAUGACAAUUGUAAGGGGAACAAUGGGCUAUAUCGCUCCAGAAGUGUUAUCUAGGAAUUUUGGGAAUGUGUCUUAUAAGUCAGAUGUUUAUAGUUUUGGAAUGUUGUUACUUGAAAUGGUUGGAGGAAGGAAGAACAUUGAUGUUAGUGUGGAGAGUACUAGCCAAGUAUAUUUCCCAGAAUGGAUUUAUAAUCAUUUGGAUAUAGGGGAAGAAUUGCAUAUUCGAAUUGAAGAAGAAGGAGACGUUGAAAUUGCAAAGAAAUUAGCAAUUGUGGGACUUUCAUGUAUUCAGUGGUGUCCAGUGGAUCGUCCUUCCAUGAAAAUUGUGGUUCAAAUGUUGGAAGGAGAAGGAGACAAGUUAACCAUGCCUCCUAACCCUUUUGCUUCAACAGUUCCAACAAACUUGAGCAAGCCAGGUAGAGUUUUUCAACAAGAGUUGGCAAUAAUUUCAGAACUAGAGUAAAAAUAAUUGUUUAUAUGUUCAACUUAUUAUGAAUGUAUAGUUUAAUAAAAAUUCAUAUUGUAGUUGUUCAUCAUCAUAGCAUCUUUAUUUAUAUUUCUGUUAAUUGAACAUAUGAUUGUAUAAAAUGAUUAUACUAGUGGCUCAAUUGAUGUUAGAUUCCAGAAGUUCUUAUUCCCAUGUAAUGUAUUUCUUGUGUAUUAAAUUUUAAUGAAUAUGUCCAAGAAUAUUCUCGCAACCCAAUUUAUAGUUCAGCUACACACAACUCUAUAGAUCACCUUUCAAUCAAGUAAGAGUAACUAAUGUCCAUCACAUUCAAGAUAGAAAGUAUUGCACGAAAUAGUAAUAGAAUUAGAUCUAGGAAACUUGAAAAUAAGAGUCCCAUCCACUACACCUAUAUAGAGUUUCUUUUGUUUCUUUUUUCUUCUUCUUCUUUUUUCUUUUUUACCUUUACCACUUUUUUAUUGGAUUGAGAAGUAAGCCUAAUUAGUUAUGUAAUCACUAAAUUAUACUGAAUGGUGAUGGCUCGUUGGAGAACUUUGCAUCGAAUAAAAUGGAGAUCGAUUUCGAUGUGUUUUCUCCUUGCAUGAAACACUGGAUUUGCUGCUAGCUAAGUAGCACUUCGGUUAUGACACCAUAUCAAUGGUGAAGAUAAGGCAUGUAUCCUAACAAUAAAGGAGUUAGAGAGUCAGGUGAAUGCUUGAUCUUGAACUUUAUCAAUACAAAUUACCAAUGGACCAUAUGUACUAGACCACGAAAAAUAUUAGAUUGUGGGAGAAAUGAACCAUAUGAUAUGUGACCAUGUAGUAAUCAUUGAGAAAGGAAAAAAACAUGGACUCAAUAGAUUAUUUAAUAAUAAUAAUAAUAAUAAUAAUAAUAGACUCAAACUCUCUCAAUAUAUGGUAUAUAUUGUUUAACCUAAACAACAAAAAGCCUAGUGGCUGAGGACCUUGUCUUAGCCGAGAGGUCUGAGGGUUCCUCCAUGUGUUUAAGAUUAAUUGCAUUUAGGCCAGAACAUCAAAUCAAUGGAACAAUCUACUUUGUUUCACUAGGCCAAGCCCAAUGGUAGGUCCAUAGCCAGAGCUUGGAUCAUGUGCUAGUCAGGCUGGGUUAGGCCUAAUACAGACCUAAUUUGAUCAUGGCAGCCCAAUAAGAUAAUGGAUUCUUUCCUAGCUACUUACAAUCAAUAUUUUUCUUUAUUUUCUUCAUAUUUUUCCAAGGAUAUGAACCUAAAAAUACAAAGUAAUACAAUUGCUAUUCAAGCAUUCCUUUGGGAUAUGGAAAUAUUUAAUAAAAGAACAUUACUAAGAUUAUUGAAUAUAGAUGAUUUUCUUAAUUUAUUUUUUCAUAUCCAAGUGGACCAUACUAACCCUAAAUUUUCCAAGCAAUUCAUCUUUAUUUCAACUCUCAAUAAUUACAAUUGUGUAAAAAACUCCAUAAACAUCAUUUUUCUAGUUUUAAUAGUUAUCCACAUGGAUGACUUUUCCCUUAUAUCUAAGAUGAGAAAUUAGAUGUUAAUGGUCAAUCGAAUCGCCGAGUGUUAUCGUACCUACCAAUUGGAUCACUAUAUACAAUGGUAUAGAAUAAGGAUAGAGGUUUCUCCACAUUCCUUUUACAUAGAGUUUCAUUUUUAUUUUAGUUUUUGUCAUAAAAUAUGAUGAAUUUGUGUCUGAGGGAGUCAUGGAGACAGCAAGUUAUUAUGAAACAUAGUGUAACUAUGAUACAUAAUAGGGAUUAGAAGGGUAUGUUGGAAUUUCCACUACAAGUUAGGAUAGAGUUAGCAGUAGAAUUGGUACUACCUCAAAAGUAAAAAUGUAGAAUACAAGAAAGAAACCAAAAGAUAAGGUUGAGGCCUAGCAUAAAAUUAAUUAGAUUAAAAUCAUAUCACAUGAACAUGUAAUUUAGCAUUUUUUUUUAAUUCCAAGAGCAUAACAAGCUAAUUACUUUUUUUCUUAAUUUUUUAUAGGUGUAUCGAAGAAAAUAAUUGUGACAGGUAAUAUUCUAUUCAUACAUAUUUUAUUAUAGAGAUAAAGAUUCUUAAUUUGGUUAUUUUAUCUAUUUAUUUAUAUAAAAAAGUUUAAGUUUUCUUCUUCUUAUGUACGCAAGUGCAAUCUUUGGUUUCUUUCUUCUCGUGUUAGUGAUUAUUAUGCUUUCUCGUGUCUAUAGCUCAGAUAAAGUAGAAAGAGAUAAUAGAGUAACGUUUAAAAAGUUUCUAGAAGACUAUGAAGCUCUCAAACCCUCAAGAUACUCCUAUGCUGAUGUUAAAAGGAUUACAAGUCAAUUCAAAGAUAAAUUAGGCCAAGGAGGAUAUGGAACUGUGUACAAAGGAAAGCUUUCAGAUGAAGUUUUUGUUGCAGUAAAAAUCCUUAACAAUUCUCAAGGAAAUGGGGAAGAGUUCAUCAAUGAAGUGGCAAUAAUGGGUACAAUCCACCAUGUUAAUAUAGUUCGCUUAAUUGGAUUUUGUGCUGAUAGAUUUAAACGAGCUCUAAUUUAUGAGUACUUACCAAAUGAGUCAUUAGAGAAGUUCAUAUUUUCAAGAGCUAUUAAGAACUAUUUACUUAGUUGGAAGAAACUUCAAGAAAUUGCUAUAGGUAUAGAGAAAGGAAUUGAGUAUCUUCAUCAAGGUUGUGAUCAAAGAAUCCUUCAUUUUGAUAUCAAACCUCAUAAUAUAUUACUUGAUCACAACUUUAAUCCAAAGAUUUCUGACUUUGGUUUAGCCAAAUUGUGCUCCAAGGAACAAAGUGCAGUCUCUAUGACAGU
Molecule: long non-coding RNA, 3410 nt
Filed under: Vitis vinifera (wine grape)
Lineage: Eukaryota; Viridiplantae; Streptophyta; Magnoliopsida; Vitales; Vitaceae
Description: long non-coding RNA (VVIN_LNC007435)
Source: RNAcentral